RNAcentral lists this ribosomal RNA (82 nucleotides) under Vibrio parahaemolyticus. Lineage: Bacteria; Pseudomonadati; Pseudomonadota; Gammaproteobacteria; Vibrionales; Vibrionaceae. RNAcentral also lists the same sequence under 1 other name. The record is from RNAcentral.
UGGCGACCAUAGCGUUUUGGACCCACCUGACUCCAUUCCGAACUCAGAAGUGAAACGAAAUAGCGCCGAUGGUAGUGUGGGG